AGAGAUAGAGGAGUGCUCGAAAGAGAGCCGUAACACAGGUGCUGCAUGGGCUGUCGUCAGCUCGUGUCGUGAGAUGUUGGGUUAAGUCCCGCAACGAGCGCAACCCUUGUCAUUAGUUGCUACAUUUAGUUGGGCACUCUAAUGAGACUGCCGGUGACAAACCGGAGGAAGGUGGGGAUGACGUCAAGUCCUCAUGGCCCUUAUAGGUGGGGCUACACACGUCAUACAAUGGAUGGUACAAAGGGUCGCCAACCCGCGAGGGGGAGCCAAUCCCAUAAAGCCAUUCGUAGUCCGGAUCGCAGUCUGCAACUCGACUGCGUGAAGUCGGAAUCGCUAGUAAUCGUGGAUCAGAAUGUCACGGUGAAUACGUUCCCGGGUCUU
RNAcentral lists this ribosomal RNA (381 nucleotides) under uncultured Acidovorax sp. RNAcentral's name for it is "bacterial SSU rRNA". It matches the Rfam family "Bacterial small subunit ribosomal RNA", at positions 1002 to 1382 of the family's 1533-position model. The record is from RNAcentral. Lineage: Bacteria; Pseudomonadati; Pseudomonadota; Betaproteobacteria; Burkholderiales; Comamonadaceae.